CGUUCCCGGGCCUUAUACACACCGCCCGUCACACCAUGGGAGCGGGUUUUACCAGAAGUAGCUAGGCUAACCGCAAGGAGGCCGGUUACCACGGUAGGAUUCGUGACUGGGGUG
This 114-nucleotide ribosomal RNA is filed under the name uncultured bacterium. Its description in RNAcentral is "partial 16S ribosomal RNA". It matches the Rfam family "Bacterial small subunit ribosomal RNA", at positions 1369 to 1482 of the family's 1533-position model. The record is from RNAcentral.